Molecule: long non-coding RNA, 1847 nt
Organism: Phragmites australis (common reed)
Lineage: Eukaryota; Viridiplantae; Streptophyta; Magnoliopsida; Poales; Poaceae
Exons: 4
Source: RefSeq, a predicted model, not a curated record
AAAGACUGAACAGGAAGGGACUCAGAGAGACAGAAAGAAGAACGGGACCUCGUCUUGCCCAAGGCUACUGUGCCGCACGCCAUGGUCGAGCUCUGAAGCUCGGGCCGACGGUGCAAAGGGGGGCAAGGAUGACCGUGAAGCGACGAAUCCAUCCUUGAAGAACACGACGGUCUCGACGACGCCGGCGGUACAUCGUAGUGACGUUGGCCCAUCGCCGAAAGCGGCAUUGGGGCAAUUCAAAUUGGGAACUCAGGUUGCCGGAGCACCACCUGUUCGACGAAAUGCCCCAGUGAACCCGACCCCAUGGCAGAGGCGUCUGGCAACUAGUGCAUGGCCGCGGCGCGAGUUCCCGGCGCGGUGUGCAGGAUCGACGCCCUCCCCAACGACGUCCUCCUCCGCGCCAUCUCCCACUUGAACGCCCGCCAGGUCGUGCAGACAUGGGCACUGGUGCGACCUCUAGCGCUCCGUGCACCGCAUCAAUGCCUCGCGACACGAGUUUGACGGCUUGGCUGACACCGACGAGGAGUGCGACGUGUUGUUCAAGAAGUUUGUCAACCGUUUCAUCAUGUUCCGUAGCCCCCUUGCAUUCGAUGAGUUCCGCCUCUGGUACCACAUAUCUAAUGAAUCAGAGGACUUCCACGCCGACUCGGAAGAUGCUAACCUAUGGAUCCGCCAUGCUUUACAGUACAAUGCUCGUUCUGUCGAGGUUAUCGAUUGGAUCAAUGAAUUGCAUCUCGAUAAUGCGGUGUUUGCUUCAAAGUGCCUCUUGACAAGCCUGCUGCUUUCCGGUCUUUUUCUGAUCCCUGGGUUCUUCAGAAACCUCCAAACGGGUUGCACAGUAUUGGGGCGUGUCUCAUCUUACGUUGCUGCACCAUUUAUGACCCUGAGAUUUCCUCCCAGACACUGAAGGUUUUGACCAUUGAUGGUGAAUGUCACUGCACAUAUGAGGGACGGGCCCCUGUUUCUAUUCCAAGCCUCAUUGAUCUUCGGUUCUCUGCCCCCGGAAGUGUACCUUUACUGAAGAACAUGGAAUCGCUAGUGAAAGCAUCGGUUUCAGUUGGUACUGCUGAUACUCAGGUUGAUGAUAUCUGUCAGUUUCUUAGGAGCCUUUGUGGUGUUACAAAUUUGGAAUUCUACUAUACAGGAAGAACUCUGGAGAUUGAACAGAAUUUCCAAUGGUGUCCAUAAUUCAACAAUCUUACAGCCCUGAAACUUGGUGAAUGGUGUCUGUAUGAUGACUUCUAUCCAUUGAUAGUCUUCCUUCAUAACUCACCUAAUCUGGAGAAGCUAACUAUAGAACACAAACCGCAGUAUGCGUAUGCAGAUUGAAAUUUCAUUGGCGACCUAGAAGAAAGAUUGUUCACGUGUGAGCAUCUUAAGAUAGUUGAAAUUGUUUGCUCGGAUUUGGUUGGUCCGGAGGAUGAUCCUGUGCUAAACAGCCUUGAGGACCUUCUAUAUGAGAACGGCAUAACCUCUGUCAGUUUCAUCCCAUCUAAGUUUCAGUUUUGAUGGAUGCAUGUUCUGGGAAAAUAUUACUGUAGAGCCAGGGUGGGCCCAUUAAGGGUCAUGCGGCGUUUGCGACUGUCAACUGAGCAAUGAGCAUCAUCUUAUUUCUUAGUUUCUUUGGUAAAUGGUAAUUGUUGGAUUGUGAAUGUUGCAAUUGUUCAGUUGAACUCGUUCAGAGUCUGAAUGUUUGAUGACUAAUAAGUGAUGCAAACAAACUUAGAUAGUUAGAUGUAUGGUGCAGUCGUUCUAUUUUGUCAUGAAAAGGUGCAUUUUUGCAAUGGUUCAUCAAAUUAGCUUUGAUAGCUUUGGCCUUGUUUUAUAAAGACAGUAAAAUGCAACAA